UGAAUAACGGAUUUUGAUAUCAAAUUAAGGGUAGGCCAUCAUUUAGUUUAGUUUAUCUCAAACUCCCACUCCUUAUUGGCCUUUGGGAAAAAAGGGCCUAUACCGAUCAAUUCUUGUCAUGGCAAGUGAUGGGCCACAUGAAGCACAACCAGCAGCCCAAGCAAAGCUGGCCCAUGGAGAUACCUAGAGUACACGAAAAUCAGAAAAACUACAAAAUAAGAAACAAAAAAUAAUUAUAAAUACAAAAAAAAAAAUUAUGGAUAUUUUUACUAUAAAUACACAACCAUCUUCUUCAUUCCCCUCCCUCAAAAUACACAUACAAACUAAUCCCUUUCUCAUAUUUUUAUCCUCCACUUUCCGAAUCAUUCUGCAUAAAAACCGCGUCUUCUAUUCACACAUGACUCAAUAUGAGCAACUUAUUAUAUAGGAUGUCCCGAAAGGAACCAAUAUGAACAACCUAUUCAAAAUUAAUCUCACAUAUCAGAUAUAAUAUUUUU
RNAcentral lists this long non-coding RNA (497 nucleotides) under Malus domestica (apple). RNAcentral describes it as "long non-coding RNA (MDOM_LNC003131)". The record is from RNAcentral. Lineage: Eukaryota; Viridiplantae; Streptophyta; Magnoliopsida; Rosales; Rosaceae.